GAGGAAUAUUGGUCAAUGGACGAGAGUCUGAACCAGCCAAGUAGCGUGAAGGAUGACUGCCCUAUGGGUUGUAAACUUCUUUUAUACGGGAAUAAAGUUAGCCACGUGUGGCUUUUUGUAUGUACCGUAUGAAUAAGGAUCGGCUAACUCCGUGCCAGCAGCCGCGGUAAUACGGAGGAUCCGAGCGUUAUCCGGAUUUAUUGGGUUUAAAGGGAGCGUAGGCGGGUUGUUAAGUCAGUUGUGAAAGUUUGCGGCUCAACCGUAAAAUUGCAGUUGAUACUGGCGACCUUGAGUGCAACAGAGGUAGGCGGAAUUCGUGGUGUAGCGGUGAAAUGCUUAGAUAUCACGAAGAACUCCGAUUGCGAAGGCAGCUUACUGGAUUGUAACUGACGCUGAUGCUCGAAAGUGUGGGUAUCAAACAGGAUUAGAUACCCUGGUAGUCCACACAGUAAACGAUGAAUACUCGCUGUUGGCGAUAUACGGUCAGCGGCCAAGCGAAAGCAUUAAGUAUUCCACCUGGGGAGUACGCCGGCAACGGUGAAACUCAAAGGAAUUGACGGGGGCCCGCACAAGCGGAGGAACAUGUGGUUUAAUUCGAUGAUACGCGAGGAACCUUACCCGGGCUUAAAUUGCAACUGACUGAACCGGAAACGGUUCUUUCUUCGGACAGUUGUGAAGGUGCUGCAUGGUUGUCGUCAGCUCGUGCCGUGAAGUGUCGGCUUAAGUGCCAUAACGAGCGCAACCCUUAUCGAUAGUUACUAGCAGGUCAUGCUGAGGACUCUAUUGAGACUGCCGUCGUAAGAUGUGAGGAAGGUGGGGAUGACGUCAAAUCAGCACGGCCCUUACGUCCGGGGCUACACACGUGUUACAAUGGGGGGUACAGAAGGCAGCUACACGGCGACGUGGUGCUAAUCCCGAAAGCCUCUCUCAGUUCGGAUUGGAGUCUGCAACCCGACUCCAUGAAGCUGGAUUCGCUAGUAAUCGCGCAUCAGCCACGGCGCGGUGAAUACGUUCCCG
Molecule: ribosomal RNA, 1017 nt
Filed under: uncultured organism
Description: bacterial SSU rRNA
Rfam family: Bacterial small subunit ribosomal RNA
Source: RNAcentral